CCGUCGGCAAAAGUGCAGCAGAUGUAAUGCGUCGUGGAUAAUGGAUGGAAGUAAUUUAAUGCGAAUGGUCUUUAAUUUCAUUGAUCUCUUAUUGUAGAAGAAUUUCAGUUUAACAAUUCGAGUUAAUGCGUUUGCGUGUUGGGAUUGUUAUUUUCUUCAAGCCAAACCUUGCCGACUCCAGAUGGAAAAGAGAGGGUCUUUCUUUCAACUGUUUUGGAACAAAAAACAAUGAGACAUUGUAGAGGUUCUAAGCCUUAUGGAGGGUUUUAAAGUUUGCUCUGAAAUUAUGGUUUGAAGUGAAUUUGCAUUAAAAGGACGCUGUCAACUUUAGAAAGCAGCUUGGAGCGUGAAAAGGUUUUGAUCUGUCGCUGCUUUAAAGUGAUGUUGGUUGUGGAUCACACACACUCUUUGCUUAUUGCUUCUUGUAGCAUCGGGUGAGCUUGUUCCAAGAGGUUUUGUGAAUCAGCCAUGAAAGAGUGUCAGGCACAGACUGUAAAUGUCGUAUAAUUCAAGGUCGGCUCAAGCAAAUGGAUGCAUUAGGCUGAGAGCUCCGGCAUCAAGAUCCAGUUCAUACGAUGGCCGUAUGAGGCACCACAUGUACCAAAGCUUCCAUCCACCUGUUAAAUUGGUCUCUGGUGACAGCUGCUGCAAGCACCUAUAACUGGAGAGACUUUUCCCUUGCCCUUUGCUCUCAGUGAGAUGGAGACGACUGCUCCUCAUACACCCUCCUGACAGUCAGAGAAGGGAGGUAUUUGAACUCAUGAUUCCAGUCCGUAUUACGUCUUGUUAACUCUACAUUUCUAUGGUUCUAUGAUAUUUGACAGGUAGCAGUUUGAAGUAAAUUGAAGACAGCACUUCCUGUUUCUGGAAAGGUGGGAUCUGGUCCCCCAAAUCUUAAAGGUAAAGGUAAAGGGGCCCCUGACCAUUAGGUCCAGUCAUGGCCGACUCUGGGGUUGCGGCGCUCAUCUCGCUUUAUUGGCUGAGGGAGCCAGCAUACAGCUUCCGGGUCAUGUGGCAGCGCACGGAAACACCGUUUACCUUCCCGCCGAAGAGGUACCUAUUUAUCUACUUGCACUUUGACAUGCUUUCGAACUGCUAGGUUGGCAGGAGCAGGGACCGAGCAACAGGAGCUCACAGAUUUGAACCGCCGAUCGGAAGGUUGGCAAGCCCAAGGCUCAGUGGUUUAGACCACAGCGCCACCCACGUCCCAUCAGGAACAUACCAGACAGUAAAUCCUAUUGAACUCAGUGGGACUUUCUGAGAAAAAAAUAAUUUGGUUUGCAGUGCAAGGCUGCACAGUCUUUACCCAGUUACCUGGAAGUAAACUCCAUUGAAUACAGUGGGACUUACUUCUGAGUAGACACGUAAAGGCUUGCCGUGUAAGGCUCAAUUUACAAUAAAGUGAUAAACACUCCACAUAUUUCCUAAAAAAUGGCUGUUUGCUGAAGCAUUGCGAUUAAAGAAUUUAAAGCAGGUUGGUGACCUUUUCCUUCAAAAUUAUAGAAAGGGUUUCGUAUGCCAGCUUCACCAUUUCUUUCACUUGGUGCCGGUAUUUUAUUUUCAGUAUAAACAAGACUCUUUUUUUUUGGCAACUACACCCCCCACCCACCCCCACUUUUAAUUGUUCUCCAAGAUGGGGGGGGGCGGGAGAGGAAAAAGGGAAACCGGGACUUUCUGGGAUCAAAUCAUAAACUAAUUCUGUAAUUCUAGGGCUGUUCCUGGAAAAUAUGGACACUUGGAAGGUAGGCAUCGAUAGCCUUACCUUCCUCCAUGAAUCUGCUUUUAAAGCCAUGCAACUUGGUGACAGUCCUGUGGGAGUGAGUUCCAUAGUCCAACAAUGCAUCGUGUGAAGAAGUAAUUUCGUUUGUCUGUCCCGGACCGCCCAACAUUCAGCUCCAGUGCAUGUGAGUGAGUUCUAGUGCUAUGUUUUCGUGCCCGAAAUCUCUCUCUCGCCCCGUAUCUCCCCAGUAGCAUUUGCUGUGGGCCAGGGAUGGGGCACCAGUGUCCCACCAGCCGUUACCGGACUCUGACUGGCAUCAGCCUCAGCCAGCAAAGCUGGGGGGUUCCUUUUCCCUGCCAUUGGCCCACAGGGACAGAGCAAUGGGAGCUCACCCCGUCGUGGGGAUUCGAACCGCUGACCUUCUGAUUGCCAAGUCCUAGGCUCUGUGGUUUAACCCACAGCGCCACCUGCGUCCCCCUGGAAGUCUUAGGACACAAUAAAAUUGUGAGUAUUUGGGAUACUGCAGGACUCCUUAUUGAUUUUGCUGCAGCUGACUAUCGCUGCUACCUCUCUGGAGUUUGCAUUGCAAGUGAUUCAUUUUGUCUGCCAAACAAAUCCUGUAGUCAUAGUAAGGUAAGGUAAAGGACCCCUGGAUGGUUAAGUCCAGUCAAAGGCAACGAUGGGGUGCUGUGCUCAUCUCCCUUGCCACAGAUGUUAUUAGGCACAUAUUAUAACUGGAACAUUUGUGCCAUUUUUUAAAUGCUGAAAAUGACCCACGCAGAUAAGCCCUUCUUUGGGAUUUUGGAGUUCUGGAGUGAACGUAGAAGCAUUUGUAGGCUUGCAAUCAAGAGACUCAGCAUAAUAUUGCAGGGCUAUUAAACUUCCUAACUGGAGGUGGGGGGAAUUUAGCUCACUGCAGCUAUUGUACUGGCAUCCUGGCGACUUUCUCGUUUUACGAUCUCUCUGUAUCUCCCCCACUCCUCACCUCAACCGCUGUGCCGAUAAUGGCACCCUUGUUUGAAACUGCCCUGGGAGUUCCUGGUUUAAUUGAUCCAACCCGAAAAGUCGUUGGGCUGGCUGCGAAUUUUUGCUUGUAGCUAAAACGGUUCUGCAGAAAGAAGGUGCAUUGAGAAAGAAGCCAGCCAAGACCUUCUCUCUUACGGUCUGGAAUCUCACGUGAAAUAUAACAUAGCCUCAAGGCGGAAGCUUGGAAACCCUAGGAUUUUUCGAAACACGCAGCCAUCACAACUGAGCUUUUGUAUACUUUUGUGCGAACAAAAGCCACAUUGAAUCCUGGCUGAAGGUGGUGCCUUCCUUAAAGCGCUCAAGACUCAACAGAAAGCAGAUCUUGCGCUUUGGGGCAAAACCUUUGGGGCUGCACACACAGGUGGUGGGGAAGGAGGAAGCCACCCCAAAAAGCACUCAAGGGGGUGAUAGAAAGAGAAGGAGCAAAAGGCACGCACACCGCCAGGAAACGCAGCUUUUCUGCCUUGGAAAGCGCAUUGGUGCAAUACUUUAUCCCUCCCCUCCGUUUAAAUAAUAAAAAUAAAAUAAGCAUUGGCAGACUCAGGCUGUUUUCUGGCACAUUCCGCCCGACAUCUGAUCGUUAAAGCGAGCACAGCGUUUACCAGAGGCAACGCACCAAGAUACACUGCAGAUGUGUCUCCCGGAACCACAUGUUCCCCUCUUAAGGAAUUGGCUUUCCUAGGCAAACACAUGCAACCAAUCACCGAAUAAAACAAGGCUGUUUAUCCUUUUCAUGCAGUAUUAUUACAGUAAUCUCAAAUCGGGCAUGUCGGGCUGCAGCCAGAAAUGGCACCAGAGAUGUAUUACUAUUCUGAGAGGAAGGAUAGGGGGUGUCAGGACACAGAGGGCUGUGGGUUGCCUCACCAGAAUGGUACAUGCUCUGGUUAUCUACUGCAACGCACUCUGUGUGGGGCUACCUUUGAAGGUGACUCGGAAACUACAACUAAUCCAGAAUGCGGCAACUAGACUGCUGAUUGGGAGUGGCCGCUAGGACCAUAUUAACACCGGUCCUGAAAUACCUGCGUUGGCUUCUGGUACAUAUCCAAGCACAAUUCAAAGUGUUGGUGCUGACCUUUGAAGCCCUAAACGGCUCAGUCCAGGAUACCUGAAGGAGUAUCUCCACCCCCAUUGUUCAGCCCAGACACUGAGGUCCAGCUCCGAGGGCCUUCUGGCAGUUCCCUCCCUGCGAGAAGUGAGGUUACUGGGAACCAGACAGAGGGCCUUCUCGGUAGUGGUGCCCACCCUGUGGAACGCCCUCCCACCAGAUGUCAAACAGAUAAACAGCUAUGUGAUUUGUAAAAGACAACUGAAGGCAGCCCUGCUCAGGGAAGUUUUUAGUGUUUGAUGUUGCAUUGUGUUUUUAGUAUUUUUUGUUGGGAGAGGCCCAGAGUGGCUGGGGCAACCCAGUCAGGUGGGCAGCAUUUUAUUAUUAUUAUUAUUAUUAUUAUUAUUAUUAUUAUUAUUAUUACUACUACCGUAUUUUUCGCUCUAUUGGACGCAGUUUUUCCCCUCCAAAAAUUGAGGGGAAAUGUGUGUGCGUCCUAUGGAGCGAAUGCAGGCUUGUGCCAUAGCCGCGUGCAACCCCUCCGGCAGGGAGAGGCUGCACGGGUCUAUGGAUUCUUUAGCCCUGUGCAGCGUCUCCCGGCAAGGAGAGGCUGCACGGGGCUAAAGGGGAAGCCAAAACAGCGAGCAGGAUCCAUCCCGCUCGCUGCCUUGCCUUCUUCGAUAGCUGCGCACAACCCCUCUGGCAGGGAGAGGUUGUGUGCAGCCUGUACACUGCUCUUUGGGGCUGGGGGGGGAAAUAUUUUUUUUUCUUGAUUUCCCUCCCUAAAAACUGGGUGCGCCCUAUGGUCCGGUGCGCCCUAUGGUGCGAAAAAUACAGUAUUAAGAGAGGAACUGCAGGAGGAUUAUAAAGCAGGACGGAGCCUCAUGCCUCUGUGUAUGUGUCUCUUUCUCCAAGACGGAGGAAAUUUGGCAACAGUUUUGCAGUGCAAAUUCCUCAUUUUGCCAAAGUCUGGCUCCGGUUUGGAGUGAAUCGGAUGACACUGAGAUUGGGGUAAUUAACCACCAACCCCGUUUUGAUGGAUCAAUUACUCUGUGGGUCGCUGCAAAACUUUGGCACCAAUAUCGAGGGGAUCCCAGAUUUUGGGGUUCAUAUGGUGACAAAGAGGGAGGCAGGACCUUGUUAAUGCUGUCGGACACUCAGCCAAGGACCUCUCAAGUCAGGCUGGAGCUGAUCACCUGACAGGACACGGAACACACCCUCCAAGUGUCCUGAUCUUCCAGGGACAGUCCUGGAAUUAUGAAAAGCUUUUGAUUUCCAUGGAUAGCUGUUUGUCUCAUUUUGCCAUGGUAAUGAGGGUCCUUCAACAGCUGUUGUGUGCUUUACUGUAUUUCCCCUCCCCCUAAAAAAAACACCCUAAUUUUCUUGUGAAGUGUUGUUUUCUUGUUGCCAUGGUGUGAGCAGCAGCAAUGAUGUUUUGGAUGAAAGAAAGCAUGAAGCGUUGCCCCUAACCCCUGUGUCCUUUCCUGGGAUUUUUGCCUGGGCUGUGACGCUUCCCAGCUGCUCCAGGGUCUGCGGAACCUGCCAAUUCUAAAAUGUGUGUGAGGAGUGGACCCCAAAGUCAGCUCCAAAGAGACUGACCACGUCUUCCCCCAAAGAAUCCUGGGAACUGUGGCUGGCUAAGGGUACAGGGAAUUGCAACUCUGUGAGAGGUGAACUAUUAUGAUGAUGAUUAUUAAUCUCCCUACUUUUUAUUUUCCCAUUGUUCCUGUAUGUGGUUGCAUUGGAGUGUCACUGUACCAAGCAGUACUUCAGCUGCAGUGCAGGAAAGACAGGGAUGUGGGGGGGCACUGGAAGACAGCAGAAGUUAAGGACUUGCUUGAGAUUUGGGGGCGAGGGAGCUAAUGUGUAAGUCCCUUUGCGUUCUAGCAAUACUGUAUUCCAAACUUAAAAAUGGAAAGCGUACUGCUGGUGGUCAACAAAAGAGGUUCAAAGACUCAUUCAAGGCAAAUCUAAAAAAAUGUAUAAGCUCUGACGAUUGGGAAUCACUGGCCUGCAAGUGCUCCAAUUGGAGAACAGCCUUUACCAGAUGGCCCCUCAAAAUUCUAAUUGGUCCAGGACAACAUCCCUGUAUUUUUCUGUUCCAAGUGAGGAGAUGAGCUCAGACUUGACUAUCAGAGUCUCUAAAGAGGCCACCAUCUCAUAAUUCUCCUCCAUGACUUCCUUGUGCAGAGCUCUUUGGCCUGGAUCCAGCAGAGAGCACUCCUCCUCUGUGAAAAACUCAGACACCUCCUCAAAGGUCAAGAGGGCCUGCUUCCGUUGCUCUUUCGCUACCUGAGGAAGCUGCCGGGCUCCUCUUUCCACUCCACCUUUAAGUUAAGAAGAGUGUCCUGCUUUUCCUUAGGAUGUCCCUAUUUUCACUGGAGAAAUGUUGGAGGGUAUGGAGUUAUGCAAUCCCCAAGCCAACCUGAAGGCAUCUGAAGGCAGCCCUGUAUAGGAAAGUUUGUUGAAUG
This 6262-nucleotide long non-coding RNA is filed under the name Podarcis lilfordi (Lilford's wall lizard). The record is from RNAcentral. Lineage: Eukaryota; Metazoa; Chordata; Lepidosauria; Squamata; Lacertidae.